UACGGAGGGUGCAAGCGUUAUCCGGAUUCACUGGGUUUAAAGAGCUCGUAGGCGGUUUGUCACGUCGGAUGUGAAAUCCCGGGGCUUAACCUCGGGUCUGCAUUCGAUACGGGCUGACUAGAGUUCGGUAGGGGAGACUGGAAUUCCUGGUGUAGCGGUGAAAUGCGCAGAUAUCAGGAGGAACACCGGUGGCGAAGGCGGGUCUCUGGGCCGAUACUGACGCUGAGGAGCGAAAGCGUGGGGAGCGAACAGG
Molecule: ribosomal RNA, 253 nt
Filed under: uncultured bacterium
Lineage: Bacteria
Description: partial 16S ribosomal RNA
Rfam family: Bacterial small subunit ribosomal RNA
Source: RNAcentral